Molecule: long non-coding RNA, 1765 nt
Organism: Salvelinus fontinalis (brook trout)
Lineage: Eukaryota; Metazoa; Chordata; Actinopteri; Salmoniformes; Salmonidae
Exons: 2
Source: RefSeq, a predicted model, not a curated record
GUUCAAAAAAAAAAAUCAAAAAAAAUUAUGUUAAUAAAAUUUGAAAAAAGUAUUUUCAUAUAGUUCUUACACAUGUGUAAUUGACAUAAAACUCGAAAGAAUUUCAAAAAACGGUCCAGAAAGCACUUUUUUAAGGGGGUGAUAAGUUUUUGCCAAAACUUUCAAAAUCUCAAAAUUUGACUGUUGGGUUUUGACUUGCGUUACAUAAAGCCUAUGAAAAAUUUAGAUGGAACACACUCGCCCACUAUAGGAAUUUUGGAGUGUUACACAGCUCAUUUGCAGCAUGGCAUUUGCCAUCAGCUUUGGAUGAAAGCGGGCCAGAACUAGUGUACUUGUCCAUCGUGUAUAUGCUGCGCUCGGUGCCAAUAACUUGCCAUGUUAUUUUGUACAAUUGGGGGGGGACUUCCCUUACAUAAGACAGUCCUGGAAGCCGAUCAAGAAACCUGCAGACCCCUUUCACAGAAAUCACAGGUGAUUGGUGGGAGUGUAACUGACAGUUAGACUUACAGGUUAUGUCGUUGUUUUGUGUUUGAAUUGUUUACGUGUCCGUAGUGCGGGGAAAUGAUAAGACAAGCGGAACUACAUAGCUAAUAACUGUUGUAACGGGGAUUCUUAUUGUAGCAACACACUUUUGGAGGGAAGGCAAUCCCGCGCUGUGUUAGCUAAGUUUUCAUGUCAUCGGGUGUAGUUCAUAAAGUUUGAAGCGUAUAUGUUAGGAUGGUAACGUUAUAAUAAUUAAGGAUGAAGCGUGAAUUCAUGCCAGGAAUAAUAAGUGUGAAGUUUGAUUUCCUCCCUUCUGUAAUAAGCAGCCAAUGAGGUAUUUUUCCUUUAUUCAUGUGUUUAAUCUAAUACUGUUAUAGCGCCGGCUAAACUGUUUAUGUAUGUAAGCACUUCAGAGUUAUACCAAGCUAAUAAGUCACUCGUAAGAUAAGGUUGUAAGAGUGUGCUUAACUGUAUUUUUCAUUUACUUUAUAGUUCUCACGGAAGGUGAUAAUUCUGACUAAAUCUACAGAAUAAAGCCGCCAGUUAAAAUCAAGGAAAGGUUGUGCUCGUGGUUACUGGAGGGAGCUACAGUUAUGCCCAACGUUAUUAAUGAACAGCACAUGUUUUUCUUGACCAAAUACGACACAAUCCCAUUGCCUUCCAGUCAAAAAAACACACUAACCACUUUGUCUGUAUAGCUUCAAAUUUCACCCAGGACAAAGUGCAGAGUUGUAUCUCUCGCUUCACAUAUCCCACUCUGGCUGUAAACCUACACUCACUUCCCUGAAAUAAUUACUGGGCGGAGAUAUCUUUCUUGAAGCUGGAAAGUGAAACUGGGAAAACAUUUGGAAUGCGUGAUGCUGCUUGUAGCUGGAAGGUUAACAUUAUCACAGUUUGCAUCUAGAUUGCACCCGAAGUUGCACCAACCCUGAAGCCCAAAGCGUUUAAACCCAAGGCAAACGAAGAUGGCGCCAGAAUCAAGCUUGUCCCCACCUACCAAAUUUCUGCUGGGGCCCGGUGAGCCGCAGGAGCCUUGGAAUGACUGGAUAAAGUAUUUUGAGUUGUACAUUACACAAAGAGGCUUGCCAGAGGAAGAGAAGAUAGCACUGUUAAGCGUUUACCUUGGGAAGGAGGGACUGCGCAUCUUAAAUACCUUGACAACGAUUGAAACAUAUGCAGCAAUGAUUGAUGCCCUCACUGCUUACUACAGCAAAGCUCAGGAGCCUCAAGACUGUCAGGAGCCUCAGGACCCGGAUGAUUCACAAAGAAUCAAACAGAACAG